This 300-nucleotide unclassified non-coding RNA is filed under the name Xylonomycetes sp. Its description in RNAcentral is "partial contains internal transcribed spacer 1". The record is from RNAcentral. Lineage: Eukaryota; Fungi; Ascomycota; Xylonomycetes.
AAGUCGUAACAAGGUUUCCGUAGGUCAUUAGGUUUGCCUACGCUCAAGAGUCUAUUUUAAAUAGGCAACACCUUCAUCCUGCUAGGAUAUACGAAUGUAUUACUAGCGGCUCAUUUGAGUUCACAGGUCAAAUAGAGGUGGCCCUUAAGGGUUAAGAUAUGAUCGAGCACUGGCUUUAACAAGCCUUUUAUAUGUGGAACCUGCGGAAGGAUCAUUACAGAGAAAAUACCCCUUUUAGGGUAUAUCUCCCACCCUUUGUUUACAAUACCAUUGUUGCUUUGGCAGGCCCGUUUAAGUACC